Molecule: ribosomal RNA, 1848 nt
Filed under: Platypus compertus
Lineage: Eukaryota; Metazoa; Arthropoda; Insecta; Coleoptera; Curculionidae
Description: SSU rRNA
Rfam family: Eukaryotic small subunit ribosomal RNA
Source: RNAcentral
CCAUGCAUGUCUCAGUACAAGCCACAUUAAGGUGAAACCGCAAAANGCUCAUUAAAUCAGUUAUGGUUCCUUAGAUCGUACCCACAUUUACUUGGAUAACUGUGGUAUUCUAGAGCUAAUACAUGCAAACNGAGCUCCAACUGGAAACGGAAGGAGUGCUUUUAUUAGAUCAAAGCCAAACGGCGUGAUGUUCAUUCUUUUUGGAUUGCACAUUCGUCGUACAUUAUAUUGUUGACUCUGAAUAACUUUUUGCUGAUCGCAUGGUCUUGCACCGGCGACGCAUCUUUCAAAUGUCUGCCUUAUCAACUGUCGAUGGUAGGUUCUGCGCCUACCAUGGUUGUAACGGGUAACGGGGAAUCAGGGUUCGAUUCCGGAGAGGGAGCCUGAGAAACGGCUACCACAUCCAAGGAAGGCAGCAGGCGCGCAAAUUACCCACUCCCGGCACGGGGAGGUAGUGACGAAAAAUAACGAUACGGGACUCAUCCGAGGCCCCGUAAUCGGAAUGAGUACACUUUAAAUCCUUUAACGAGGAUCAAUUGGAGGGCAAGUCUGGUGCCAGCAGCCGCGGUAAUUCCAGCUCCAAUAGCGUAUAUUAAAGUUGUUGCGGUUAAAAACUCCGUAGUCGAACUUGUGUCUCGUGCCGCUGGUUCAUCGUUCGCGGUGUUAAACUGGCGUGACACGAGACUUCCUGCCGGUGGGUUUAGUGCAUUUCCAAUUUAAUUCGUUAUGCUGUCUAUGUGUUUGGGUGCGGCAUUUAUGUCGUUCCGCAUCGCAAUCCAGUUAAUGAACGGUUGGAAAUUGUGCGACCCAAGCUUACAAUCCUGCUGCGUUGCUCUUGAUUGAGUGACGAGGUGGGCCGGCACGUUUACUUUGAACAAAUUAGAGUGCUUAAAGCAGGCAAAAAUUUCGCCUGAAUAUUCUGUGCAUGGAAUAAUGGAAUAGGACCUCGGUUCUAUUUCGUUGGUUUUCGGAACUCCGAGGUAAUGAUUAAUAGGAACGGAUGGGGGCAUUCGUAUUGCGACGUUAGAGGUGAAAUUCUUGGAUCGUCGCAAGACGAACGGAACGAAAGCAUUUGCCAAAAACGCUUUCAUUGAUCAANAACGAAAGUUAGAGUUCGAGGCGAUCAGAUACCGCCCUAGUUCUAACCGUAAACAAUGUCAACUGACGAUCCGUCGACGUUCCUUUAUUGACUCGACGGGCAGUUUCCGGGAAACCAAAGUUUUUGGGUUCCGGGGGAAGUAUGGUUGCAAAGCUGAAACUUAAAGGAAUUGACGGAAGGGCACCACCAGGAGUGGAGCCUGCGGCUUAAUUUGACUCAACACGGGAAACCUCACCAGGCCCGGACACCGGAAGGAUUGACAGAUUGAGAGCUCUUUCUUGAUUCGGUGGGUGGUGGUGCAUGGCCGUUCUUAGUUGGUGGAGCGAUUUGUCUGGUUAAUUCCGAUAACGAACGAGACUCUAGCCUGCUAAAUAGGCGCAAUAUGACAUCGCAAAGGCCAGCCGAUUUGAUAUAUGGGUUAUGUAAGUGGCGUUUACGCGUCCAUUACGUUCCCUUGUCGGAUUGUGCGCGGUUUUUACUGUCGGCGUACAAAUAAUUCUUCUUAGAGGGACAGGCGGCUUUUAGCCGCACGAGAUUGAGCAAUAACAGGUCUGUGAUGCCCUUAGAUGUUCUGGGCCGCACGCGCGCUACACUGAAGGAAUCAGCGUGUCCUCCCUGGCCGAAUGGCCCGGGUAACCCGCUGAACCUCCUUCGUGCUAGGGAUUGGGGCUUGCAAUUGUUCCCCAUGAACGAGGAAUUCCCAGUAAGCGCGAGUCAUAAGCUCGCGUUGAUUAAGUUCNUGCCCUUUG